GUGCUUAACACAUGCAAGUCGAGCGAUGAAGCUUCUUCGGAAGUGGAUUAGCGGCGGACGGGUGAGUAACACGUGGGUAACCUGCCUUAUAGAGGGGAAUAGCCUUUCGAAAGGAAGAUUAAUACCGCAUAAGAUUGUAAUGUCGCAUGACAUAGCAAUUAAAGGAGUAAUCCGCUAUGAGAUGGACCCGCGUCGCAUUAGCUAGUUGGUGAGGUAACGGCUCACCAAGGCGACGAUGCGUAGCCGACCUGAGAGGGUGAUCGGCCACAUUGGGACUGAGACACGGCCCAGACUCCUACGGGAGGCAGCAGCGGGGAAUAUUGCACAAUGGGGGAAACCCUGAUGCAGCAACGCCGCGUGAGUGAUGACGGUCUUCGGAUUGUAAAGCUCUGUCUUUAGGGACGAUAAUGACGGUACCUAAGGAGGAAGCCACGGCUAACUACGUGCCAGCAGCCGCGGUAAUACGUAGGUGGCAAGCGUUGUCCGGAUUUACUGGGCGUAAAGGGAGCGUAGGUGGAUAUUUAAGUGGGAUGUGAAAUACCCGGGCUUAACCUGGGUGCUGCAUUCCAAACUGGAUAUCUAGAGUGCAGGAGAGGAAAGGAGAAUUCCUAGUGUAGCGGUGAAAUGCGUAGAGAUUAGGAAGAAUACCAGUGGCGAAGGCGCCUUUCUGGACUGUAACUGA
Molecule: ribosomal RNA, 682 nt
Filed under: uncultured Clostridium sp.
Lineage: Bacteria; Bacillati; Bacillota; Clostridia; Eubacteriales; Clostridiaceae
Description: bacterial SSU rRNA
Rfam family: Bacterial small subunit ribosomal RNA
Source: RNAcentral